Molecule: long non-coding RNA, 1325 nt
Filed under: Homo sapiens (human)
Lineage: Eukaryota; Metazoa; Chordata; Mammalia; Primates; Hominidae
Description: HSALNT0204990
Source: RNAcentral
CUUAUACCCCCUCCCUCAGUAACCACCAUUAGGCUUUCUUCUCUAAAGGCUAAACAGAAACCAGCCCUUUUAUAAGACUCACACUGGUAAUGUCUGUUACUGACUUAUCUUCCCAGGUACAGAACAAAGACAAGAUGAGAUUGAUCAUUACUUUACCCCUCCCUGAGGUGUUCGUUUUCUUCAUAUGUUCAUCUUAUGUUGUGUAAAAUGUAGAUUUACUGGGUAUUAACUGAAGUCUCACAUGUAUAUAACCAUUUGUCUCACUGCCCCUCCUUUUUUUUUUUUUUAAGGAAAAUGUAUAAGUACAAAACCUCUUGAGAACCUUUCUGGAAUCAAUAGCCACAGAUGCGUCUGUUACUUGUGUUUUUCACAGGCAAGCCCUCUAGCUGGCUCAAUAAACCUCAAUUGAUUGGGACAACUGCCUCGGUCACUCAAUUUGGUUGUCGAAUUGAUACCACUACACCCUUACCAGCCAUCCUACAACCAAGACAUUAUAGAACCUACAGAACUGAUACAACAUUGUGGAUUGCACAUUGAGACCCAGAAACACCUGUGUGCUUUGAUGACAUAAUUAAACUGUUGGAUCAACCUGAAUACUCUUCCUAUUCUGGACUUUAUGUAAAGUUGAAACUCUUUAAAAGCCUUGGAUUUAAAAAGCAUCCCAGGUUGCACUUUCCAGACAAACGGAGGCAUUCUUGUUAUUGGUAUGAUUGAGAGACCUGAACUUCAGAAACGAAGAUCAAAUCCUCAGAGAUUCUUACUUCUGUAAGCACAAUAAGGGAAGAGAUUUUGGGGUCUCUGUUUGCUGCAUAUUACAAAACAGCAAAUUAUUCAAGUCUACUGUGUUUUAGGCACAUUCUGCAGGGGUCUGAUAAGGAGAUCUCAAUAGAGUGAUUCUAAGAAGCAGAAUGCAUAUUCUUUUAGCAUAACUGGGCAAGUAAUCAAUAAAGUAAAUGUACUAUUAUACAAUCAAUUUGAAUUUAGUAAGCAAAUUCAGGAUGAGAAAUCAUGUUGAAAGCUGUAAUACUUUCUGUAUGAUCAGAGUUAAAUGUACCAACUAGCAAAACUGAAUUUUUAAAAUACUUUUGCUUUUACUAUGCAUUUGAAUAAACACUUUCCGCUGAAAGUAUCAAUGUGGCUAUUUUAUAUAUAAAGAGUAACACUAUCAUUUUUAAAAAAACUUUCCUCCAUUCUUGAUUUCUUGUCAUUUUUUAACUUUUAAAAAAUCAAACCACAUGGCAACAGCAACUAAAAGGACUAAAAAUGAAAUAUAGUAACACGCUAAUGGCAGUAUCAAAUUUUGUGAAAAAUUUCAGAUACUUGGG